This 295-nucleotide signal recognition particle RNA is filed under the name Sphenodon punctatus (tuatara). RNAcentral's name for it is "Metazoan signal recognition particle RNA (ENSSPUG00000008744.1)". It matches the Rfam family "Metazoan signal recognition particle RNA". From Rfam's summary of the family: The signal recognition particle (SRP) is a universally conserved ribonucleoprotein. The record is from RNAcentral. Lineage: Eukaryota; Metazoa; Chordata; Lepidosauria; Sphenodontia; Sphenodontidae.
GGGUGCAGUGGCUUGUGCCAGUAGUACCAACACCUUGGGAGGUUGAGGCUGUAGGAUUGCUUGAGCUCAGGGGUUUUGUGCUGCAGUGGGCCACACUGAUCACAUGUCCACACUAAGGUCAGCAUCGAUAUGGUGACCUGUGAGAAGCUGUAGGUUACCACGUUGUCUAAGAAGGGGUGAACCGGCCGAGGUGAGGAAUGCAGCAGGCCAAAGCUCCUGUGUUGAGGAGUAGUGGGAUUGCACCUGUGAUUGGUCCCUACAGCACAGUCUGGGCAAGAAAGUGAGGAUGAUUUCA